UGCCAGCAGCCGCGGUAAUACGUAGGGGGCGAGCGUUGUCCGGAUUUAUUGGGCGUAAAGGGCUCGUAGGCGGUUUGACAAGUCGGUCGUGAAAGCCCGGGGCUCAACCCCGGGACGCCGGUCGAAACUGUCAUGACUAGGGUCCGGUAGAGGUGAGUGGAAUUCUCGGUGUAGCGGUGAAAUGCGCAGAUAUCGAGAGGAACCCCAGUUGCGAAGGCGGCUCACUGGGCCGGUACCGACGCUGAGGAGCGAAAGCGUGGGGAGCAAACAGGAUUAGAUA
Molecule: ribosomal RNA, 280 nt
Filed under: uncultured bacterium
Lineage: Bacteria
Description: partial 16S ribosomal RNA
Rfam family: Bacterial small subunit ribosomal RNA
Source: RNAcentral